RNAcentral lists this ribosomal RNA (506 nucleotides) under uncultured Gigasporaceae. RNAcentral describes it as "SSU rRNA". It matches the Rfam family "Eukaryotic small subunit ribosomal RNA", at positions 569 to 1078 of the family's 1831-position model. The record is from RNAcentral. Lineage: Eukaryota; Fungi; Glomeromycota; Glomeromycetes; Diversisporales; Gigasporaceae.
AGCAGCCGCGGUAAUUCCAGCUCCAAUAGCGUAUAUUAAAGUUGUUGCAGUUAAAAAGCUCGUAGUUGAAUUUCGGGGUUCUACCGUCGGUCGGGCUACCAAGUCUGUACUGGUGUGUAGAAUUCCUACCUUCUGGGGAACUAUCAUGUUAUUAAUUUAGCGUGGUGGGAAACCAGGACCUUUACCUUGAAAAAAUUAGAGUGUUCAAAGCAGGCUUAUGUCUGAAUACAUUAGCAUGGAAUAAUAGAAUAGGACGGUGGUCCUGUUUUGUUGGUUUCUGAAUCACCGUAAUGAUUAAUAGGGAUAGUUGGGGGCAUUAGUAUUCAAUUGUCAGAGGUGAAAUUCUUGGAUUUAUUGAAGACUAACUUCUGCGAAAGCAUUUGCCAAGGAUGUUUUCAUUAAUCAAGAACGAAAGUUAGGGGAUCGAAGACGAUCAGAUACCGUCGUAGUCUUAACCAUAAACUAUGCCGACUAGGGAUCGGACGAUGUUAAAUUUUAUUGACUCG